CACGUAGGGGCGAGCGUUGUCCGGAAUUACUGGGCGUAAAGGGCGCGCAGGCUGUUAUGCGAGUCUGCUGUGAAAUGUACCGGCUCAACCGGUGCCUUGCGGCGGAUACUGCAUAGCUGGAGUACUGGAGAGGGAAGUGGAAUUCCCGGCGUAGCGGUGAAAUGCGUAGAUAUCGGGAGGAACACCGGUGGCGAAGGCGGCUUUCUGGCCAGUUACUGACGCUCAUGCGCGAAAGCUGGGGUAGCGAACCGGAUUAGAUAUCCG
RNAcentral lists this ribosomal RNA (264 nucleotides) under uncultured prokaryote. RNAcentral's name for it is "partial 16S ribosomal RNA". It matches the Rfam family "Bacterial small subunit ribosomal RNA", at positions 524 to 788 of the family's 1533-position model. The record is from RNAcentral.